Molecule: long non-coding RNA, 4778 nt
Filed under: Xyrichtys novacula (pearly razorfish)
Lineage: Eukaryota; Metazoa; Chordata; Actinopteri; Labriformes; Labridae
Source: RNAcentral
UUUGGGGGGUCCAAAGACUUUGACACGUGCCUGAUAAUUUGGACGCAAGCAUACCAAAUCCAAUUGACUUUAUCCUUUAAAGCUCAUAAAAAAUGACGAUAAAUGUGCUGCACAAUAAAUAAAACAUGGAACAAUUCACAAGAUAAAAAGGUCAGUUUCUUUUGUGACCAGCGAAGACUAUGUUCUUCUUCUUUGUCCUCUCUAAAUGAGUGGUUUUCAGAUGGACCCUCAUCCAGUACAAAAACACGAAUGUUUCAAGUUUGUCCAUUCUAAUAAUAAUAAUAAUAAUACAUUUGAUUUAUAACCUGCUUUACAUCUGAGAAAACAGACCUCAAAGUGCACACAGUAAAAACAACAACAGUCAGAAUAUGAAAUCGGCUUUUUGGGGCUGCAGUCACUCAGGAGGUAGAGCGGUCGUCCAAUAACUGGAAGGUUGGCGGUUCGAUUCCCCCCUAUCCUGAGUCUGUCCGUUGGGCAAGACACUUGACCCACCUUGCUCCCAGUAUGUGUCCUCCACUAGUGUAUGAUUGUGAGUGUGUUGUGUGGUGGUGGUUGGAGAGGCCAUAGGCGCAAACUGACAGCCAUGUUUCCGUCAGUCUACCCCAGGGCAGCUGUGACUUCUAAGGUAGUUGACCACCACCAAGGUGUGACUGUGUGAGUGAAUUAAUGAUGUAUCCAUGUAAAGCGCUUUGAGGGUCUCUGAUAAAGCCCUAUAUGAAAUCUGAUGAAUAGUUUUCUAAAAGGAAAACUUUAAAGCAUCCACCAUCUGUGGAGCUCUGAGGUGAUCAAGAAGGGCGCUCCACAGAUGUGGAAGUGCAACCUCAAAGGCCAUGUCGCCUAUGAUCUUGAGCCGAGUCCUGGGUGGGUGCAGAUGGUGCAAUUGGCCUGACCGGGUUCUGGCUGAGGUGUGUGGGGUGAGGAGUUAGGUGAGGUAUGUAGGGGCUGCACCGUGAAGACAGUGAUGGGCGUAUGAAAACAUUGUGGUGCAGAAACAUGGUUUCAGUGUAGAGACAUGGUGGUGCAUGAUAGCUUAUGUAAUGUGCUUUCAGAUCACAAGGUGGCGAGCUUGCACAGCAGAGCCAGCCUGUGAGUCGACAGCUCUCCCUGCAAACACACAACUUGACCAUGAGAACAGCCCCCUCUUGUGGCAGCCUGGACACGAGGCUGCGUCUUGAGAUGCAGCAUUUUUUUUCAUCAAGUUUCAAGUUCAUGAGGUUUGUCUUGUUCUAACAAAAGAAAAUCAUUCCCAAAGAGCUUCUUAUAGACAGGCAGAUUGAUUGUAUACUGCAAUACUAAUAUUCCACGCUCCUCAUUAUCCCACAACUGAAGCAGCACAGUAAUCGCCGCUGGGGAAAACGUUGAAAAUUACAAAAAAAAAAAAAAGACAGAAAGUGAGCAGGUCUGGUGGUGAAGAAUGCGAAAGACGCACAAGUGGAGCAGCACCUGUGGUUUGGGAGCAUCGCCAUCCAUCUUUCUGCACACACGGAAUUAUGUGUGUGUCGUGUGUGUGCGUGAGGGAGAUGUGUGAGAAGAGAAGAAAAAGAGGGAUGGAGGGAGGACAUUGUGGAGUGUAUGAGUAAUAGGAGAGACAGUGGAAGCAUAUGUGACCCAUGACACUGAAAAGCCUGCAGUCUGGUUUAAACUGGCCUCUGAUCUGGUUCUGUGGACCCUAGAGGGCCUCGGGGACUGCGCCUUACAUAUCAGCGGUGACCCUCUGGCUUUUGAACAGCGUUUAAUACAAUGAAAAGUCACAAACGGCUUAAGAUGGAAGUUAGACUGUGGCAAAUUGGAAGCAAAAAUAGUGAAAUUAUGAAAGGAAAUGGAAAAGGAAAGCGAUCCUUUAUCCAAGCAAACACUCCUCCCCGUAAAAAGAAAUGUAAUAGAACUUGGACCUCCACAAUCCCAGCCCAAACAGGGAGCCUCUUAUCGUCCGCCAUCUCUCCCACAGCUAAUAUUUCACUUCAGCUCCCGGGCCCACAGAAUGAGAGACGUUUCCAUUUCAUGUCAGUCAUUUCCAGGCCUGUGUGUUACCUGUGCGGUGAUAAGUGUUUGACUGACUGGGAGUGUCGUUAGUCACUGUCCGGUGUGGAGUGACAGCAGCAGAUUGACGCGGAUGAUGAGAGGAGGAGAGGCCCGAUGUGUGUUCAGGGACAACGGGGGGAAAAGCUCGGCUGUUGUGUUGGGGGAGGGAAAAAAACAUUUACACACAUAUAAUGGCAAACAUAAAGCCAUACACAAACACAUACCAAACACAACAAGGUGGAUUAUAGAGGACAUAAGGGAUCAUGCUGUUUUAAUUUGAUGAAAUGUGUUUACCUCCUUUUACAUUUGACAGGUGUGGAAUCUUUGUUGUUGCAGGUGUGUGACUACCAAUGAUUCAUAAUAGGGGUAAGAAAAGGUUUAAAGAUUAGAGACAUUAAAAACAAAGUUAAUUUAAAGUGAAAUAUUGAUUAUAAAUUUGUUAAAAAAUGAAUUUACAUGGCAUUACAAUUUAACUGGAAUUACCGUGAGCGUUUUUAAGUUAUUCCCUUGACUUUUUAGGGUGUAGGAGCCAAAUUUGUGACCUAAUAAGUAAAGUAAAAUGUAAAUAUGCGAUCAUCCCCCAUGCAAAUAAAGGAUUCUUGAUAGAUUAGAUAGAGACCAUAUAACUCAUAUUUGAAGUCUCUUAUAAGUCGAAAGACUGCAGCUUGAGACUGACCCUCUUAAAUGUUUUUACACCCCUGUUUGUGUCAUAAAUACCAGUUUUCUUCGCAUUAAUGAUGAACUUAAAAAACAUAUUACUGUCACUGUAUAAACUGUCAUUUCUAAGGACUUAAAUAUGUAUUUUGAAACCAGAUUUCAGCUUAAAUUAGGCACCACUCUGUCUGUUUGAGGCUCAUGCAUUGCUAGUACAACAUUCAAUAUAGUGUUGUUGUUAUAAAAGCCCUGAGUUCCCCCUUUUUGACCCUAAAACAUGUGAAUUAUGUGUUGAGGAUUAAUUCAUAUAUUUUAAUUUAUAGGUACUUAUUUGACUUUUCUCUGCUCACACUCUUUUAGCAGUUUCACAAGUUGGACAACUAGUUUUUAAUUUUAUUUUUCCAUUUUUAAAGAUUUCCAAUCCAGUUUUUAUUUAUUUUUUGCCAUAAUAUAUACACUACAUAGAUUAUAAAUCUUAAACCAUACAGAAAAGAAGCUAUUUUCUUGUUGACACUUAUCAUUGCCUAUCAUUGUGAAUGAGCCUUGUUGUUAGAGGCAAAAUACACACCAUGAAAACCAUAAAAAUGAAGUUUUCUGAACUGUUUCAGCCGCUCCAAGAAAAAAAAUAUCAACAUCCUUAGAUUACGUUCACUUUACUCUCACUGCUGUGAAACCUGACAAAACAAGCAGGAAGUAAUACAGCACUGCGAGGCCAAGAAGUUCAAUCUCUGGACAUCUCUGGAACAUGUUUUCACCCUCAUGGUCUCUACCUCUCCCCUUUUUACCUCCUCUACCAAAAGCGAGGCAGCGAGCCGUGAGAUGGAUGGGCUGAGCGUUGCGAGGUUUCUCCAAAAGCGAAGCGAGUCUGACUGCUGCUCUACCUGAGGAGCGAAAACAAAAGAGCCAUCUCUACCUGUAGGACUGUGGGAGUCGAGGCUUUGAUCUGGACCAGAAAGAGAGAGUAGUUUGAUGAAAUAUUGAUGCUUUUUUUUAACUGUGUCCUGUGGGAGCUCAGUCUGCUCUCAGGAUGUGUGCGCUGAUGUACAAUACCACUCCGUGCUUUGCUAGAUGAGAAUGGACUCGACUAUGGAGUCUUAUCGGUCUUAAUGGGCCUAAUAAUGACCCCCCACUCUGGGCUCGGGAGUGGUCAGGGACUUCUUUUUGUGCUGAUCAAAAGAAGAAGUACUUUUAAUCAGUCAACACCUAUUGAAAAAUACACGUACAGGUGAUGUGCGCCUGACAGCAUCUUUACACAAUCUUGACAGCAAAGGCUGUACCUGACUUAAAUCUUUAUUUGGUGUUCGGUGGGUUAGCUUUUGCUCUUGAAACAAAAGGUGAAACAGCGUUUAAAGCGCAUGUUUUGUAUCUUAACAUGUGCAUUUGUAAUUAAAAACCGCGAUGCUGAAAAUUCUCUGUAAUUGUAUUAGAUUAAAUGACAUAAAAAUCAAAGCAGAGUACUUUUAAUGCCACUUAAAAAUCAAGAACUGACGCACAGUUUUGAGAAGACUCUCAAACACAGAGAUCCUCUUUCAGCUCAGGAUUCAAAAAUGAAGGCCUUGUUAAGACCAUGUAAUAUGAUUUCAACUGAGAGCCCGGAAACUUUGAUUUGAGUUUGUACGAGUGACCCACAUUCUUCCAGCAACAAUGAUCUCCAUGCGAGAGAAGAGAAAAAUCUGAAUAUUGAUAAUUGCCUUGAGUGCUUUUGUCUGAAAGUUUGGAGGCUGACACACUCAAAUUAAGACCGGAAAAAGAGUGUGAAAGACAAGGGAGGGGGGGAUUUAUCACUCUCCCAUGCUCAUACACAGAGAUAGACAGGGGGCAUAAUGACUUCUGUGGAGAACCAUUAUUUCAACUUAAAGGAAAAGGAGAAAGAGGCAGAGAAACGGGUCGAACGGGGGGGAGGAAAGAGGCAUCUUAGGAGGAGCCAGGGGCAGGAGAUAGUCUGGGAAAGGUCUCGCGUUAAAGUGGAAUUAACAUGCCUUUCCAUUGGAGUCCAUUAGAUAAUCAUAUUCAUACCACACAAGGCUCCAAACCCUCUCUGUUUCAUUAUUCCCUUUUAAUCCAGCCUGAUAAGGGGGUGCAGGCGACGUGGUUUUAUUAUG